UUUGGGAUUCGGUGCCACUAAAAAGAUACUUAGUAGAGAAAAGAACCUACACAUCUUGGAAUGACAUCAGGGCCAUUUCUGGUCACUGAGAAGUGAUUCCAUGUAGAUCCAGGUUGCCAGGGAGGAAUGAACAUGUGGUACACAUGUGGACGGGACAAGCCCAUGUGAGAAAAUAAGGGCCUCCCCCAUGAUUGCUGGAGACUCUCUCGGGUCUGAG
RNAcentral lists this long non-coding RNA (217 nucleotides) under Bos taurus (domestic cattle). RNAcentral describes it as "long non-coding RNA NONBTAT000867". Lineage: Eukaryota; Metazoa; Chordata; Mammalia; Artiodactyla; Bovidae. The record is from RNAcentral.